UACAGAGGUCUCAAGCGUUGUUCGGAUUCAUUGGGCGUAAAGGGUGUGUAGGUGGCGCGCUAAGUCGGGUGUGAAAUUUCGGAGCUUAACUCCGAGACUGCAUUCGAUACUGGCGUGCUUGAGGACUGGAGAGGAGACUGGAAUUCAUGGUGUAGCAGUGAAAUGCGUAGAGAUCAUGAGGAAGACCAGUGGCGAAGGCGGGUCUCUGGGCCGAUACUGACGCUGAGACGCGAAAGCGUGGGGAGCGAACAGG
This 253-nucleotide ribosomal RNA is filed under the name uncultured bacterium. Its description in RNAcentral is "partial 16S ribosomal RNA". It matches the Rfam family "Bacterial small subunit ribosomal RNA", at positions 524 to 776 of the family's 1533-position model. The record is from RNAcentral.